AUUGAACGCUGGCGGCAGGCCUAACACAUGCAAGUCGAGCGGAUGAAGGGAGCUUGCUCCUGGAUUCAGCGGCGGACGGGUGAGUAAUGCCUAGGAAUCUGCCUGGUAGUGGGGGAUAACGUCCGGAUACGGGCGCUAAUACCGCAUACGUCCUGAGGGAGAAAGUGGGGGAGCUUCGGACCUCAUGCUAUCAGAUGAGCCUAGGUCGGAUUAGCUAGUUGGUGGGGUAAAGGCCUACCAAGGCGACGAUCCGUAACUGGUCUGAGAGGAUGAUCAGUCACACUGGAACUGAGACACGGUCCAGACUCCUACGGGAGGCAGCAGUGGGGAAUAUUGGACGAUGGGCGAGAGCCUGAUCCAGCCAUGCCGCGUGUGUGAAGAAGGUCUUCGGAUUGUAAAGCACUUUAAGUUGGGAGGAAGGGCAGUAAGUUAAUACCUUGCUGUUUUGACGUUACCAACAGAAUAAGCACCGGCUAACUUCGUG
RNAcentral lists this ribosomal RNA (484 nucleotides) under uncultured bacterium. Its description in RNAcentral is "partial 16S ribosomal RNA". It matches the Rfam family "Bacterial small subunit ribosomal RNA", at positions 30 to 507 of the family's 1533-position model. The record is from RNAcentral.